This 709-nucleotide ribosomal RNA is filed under the name uncultured bacterium. RNAcentral's name for it is "bacterial SSU rRNA". It matches the Rfam family "Bacterial small subunit ribosomal RNA", at positions 94 to 822 of the family's 1533-position model. The record is from RNAcentral.
AGCGGCGGACGGGUGAGUAACGCGUGGGUAACCUGCCUCAUACACAUGGAUAACAUACCGAAAGGUAUGCUAAUACAAGAUGAUAUAAGAGAUUCGUAUGGAUUUCUUAUCAAAGCUCCGGCGGUAUGAGAUGGACCCGCGUCUGAUUAGCUAGUUGGUAAGGUAACGGCUUACCAAGGCGACGAUCAGUAGCCGACCUGAGAGGGUGAUCGGCCACAUUGGAACUGAGACACGGUCCAAACUCCUACGGGAGGCAGCAGUGGGGAAUAUUGCACAAUGGGCGAAAGCCUGAUGCAGCAACGCCGCGUGAGCGAUGAAGGCCUUCGGGUCGUAAAGCUCUGUCCUCAAGGAAGAUAAUGACGGUACUUGAGGAGGAAGCCCCGGCUAACUACGUGCCAGCAGCCGCGGUAAUACGUAAGGGGCUAGCGUUAUCCGGAUUUACUGGGCGUAAAGGGUGCGUAGGUGGUUUCUUAAGUCAGGAGUGAAAGGCUACGGCUCAACCGUAGUAAGCUCUUGAAACUGGGAAACUUGAGUGCAGGAGAGGAAAGUGGAAUUCCUAGUGUAGCGGUGAAAUGCGUAGAUAUUAGGAGGAACACCAGUAGCGAAGGCGGCUUUCUGGACUGUAACUGACACUGAGGCACGAAAGCGUGGGGAGCAAACAGGAUUAGAUACCCUGGUAGUCCACGCCGUAAACGAUGAGUACUAGUGU